GGAUGGACUACCUUAAGAUAAGUUAAGUGUGUAUAAAGGUCUGUGAUAGGAUGGACUACCUUAAGAUAAGAUAAGUGAGUAUAAAGGUCUGUGAUAGGAUGGACUACCUUAAGAUAAGAGUAUAAAGGUCUAGGAUAGGACGGACGACCUUAAGAUAAGAGUAUAAAGGUCUGUGAUAGGAUGGACGACCUUAAGAUAAGUUAAGUGUGUGGAACCACCAGACCAGAAUGUGAAAACUAAAAAGUUUAUUGAGCAGAAACAGUACUCAGAACAACAUUAUGCUGUAAUCAAAAAUAUCUCUGGAACAGUAGCAAGGUCAACGGGUCAGAGGUCAGCACCCCCCCCGAAACAAAACAAACGUAAAGAGUAGAAAGGAACAGCCAGCAGGGUUCGCUCUGCCAUGAUCACAUCUCAGUCUAUUAACUGUCUGGAGACACCUGGUACUAGAUAACAGUCUGGAAGAGGAGGACGAGAAGGGGUCUGUAGAGGAGGGGGGGGGGUUAUAGGUGUCUGUAGUAGAGGAGGAGGGGUUAUAGGUGUCUGUAGUAGAGGAGGGGGGGUUAUAGGUGUCUGUAGUAGAGGAGGAGGGGUUAUAGGUGUCUGUAGUAGAGGAGGGGGGUUAUAGGUGUCUGUAGUAGAGGAGGGGGGGGGGUUAUAGGUGUCUGUAGUAGAGGAGGAGGGGUUAUAGGUGUCUGUAGUAGAGGAGGAGGGGUUAUAGGUGUCUGUAGUAGAGGAGGGGGGGUUAUAGGUGUCUGUAGUAGAGGAGGAGGAGGGGUUAUAGGUGUCUGUAGUAGAGGAGGAGGAGGGUUAUAGGUGUCUGUAGUAGAGGAGGGUUAUAGGUGUCUGUAGUAGAGGAGGGGGGGGUUAUAGGUGUCUGUAGUAGAGGAGGAGGGUUAUAGGUGUCUGUAGUAGAGGAGGAGGAGGGGUUAUAGGUGUCUAGUAGAGGAGGGGGGUUAUAGGUGUCUGUAGUAGAGGAGGAGGAGGGUUAUAGGUGUCUGUAGUAGAGGAGGAGGAGGGUUAUAGG
This 1024-nucleotide long non-coding RNA is filed under the name Oncorhynchus mykiss (rainbow trout). RNAcentral's name for it is "lncRNA (ENSOMYG00000061177.1)". The record is from RNAcentral. Lineage: Eukaryota; Metazoa; Chordata; Actinopteri; Salmoniformes; Salmonidae.